AGGGUUUGAUCCUGGCUCAAACGUACGCUGGCGGCACGCCUAACACAUGCAAGUCGAACGAAGUAGCAAUACUUAGUGGCAGACGGGUGAGUAACACGUAGGUAUCUACCCUUUGGCCUGGAAUAACACGAGGAAACUUGUGCUAAUACCGGAUAAGUCUUUACGGAGAAAGCUUUAUGCACCAUUGGAUGAGCCUGCACUUGAUUAGUUUGUUGGUGGGUAAUGGCCUACCAAGACUGUGAUCAAUAGCUGAUUUGAGAGGAUGAUCAGCCACAUUGGGACUGAGACACGGCCCAAACUCCUACGGGAGGCAGCAGUGGGGAAUCUUGCACAAUGGAGGAAACUCUGAUGCAGCGAUGCCGCGUGAGUGAAGAAGGCCCUUGGGUUGUAAAGCUCUUUCGUCGGGGAAGAAAAUGACUGUACCCGAAUAAGAAGGUCCGGCUAACUUCGUGCCAGCAGCCGCGGUAAUACGAAGGGACCUAGCGUAGUUCGGAAUUACUGGGCUUAAAGAGUUCGUAGGUGGUUGAAAAAGUUAGUGGUGAAAUCCCAGAGCUUAACUCUGGAACUGCCAUUAAAACUUUUCAGCUAGAGUAUGAUAGAGGAAAGCACAAUUUCUAGUGUAGAGGUGAAAUUCGUAGAUAUUAGAAAGAAUACCAAUUGCGAAGGCAGCUUUCUGGAUCAUUACUGACACUGAGGAACGAAAGCAUGGGUAGCGAAGAGGAUUAGAUACCCUCGUAGUCCAUGCCGUAAACGAUGUGUGUUAGACGUUGGAAAUUUAUUUUCAGUGUCGCAGCGAAAGCGAUAAACACACCGCCUGGGGAGUACGACCGCAAGGUUAAAACUCAAAUGAAUUGACGGGGACCCGCACAAGUAGUGGAGCAUGUGGUUUAAUUCGAAGAUACGCGCAGAACCUUACCAACACUUGACAUGUUCGUCGCGACUCUAAGAGAUUAGAGUUUUCGGUUCGGCCGGACGAAACACAGGUGCUGCAUGGCUGUCGUCAGCUCGUGUCGUGAGAUGUUGGGUUAAGUCCCGCAACGAGCGCAACCCUCACUUUUAGUUGCCAUCAUUUAGUUGGGCACUCUGAAAGAACUGCCAGUGAUAAGCUGGAGGAAGGUGGGGAUGACGUCAAGUCCUCAUGGCCCUUACGUGUUGGGCUACACACGUGCUACAAUGGUAUCUACAACAGGAAGCAAGACUGCGAGGUCAAGCAAAUCCUUAAAAGAUACCUCAGUUCGGAUUGCACUCUGCAACUCGAGUGCAUGAAGCUGGAAUUACUAGUAAUCGUGGAUCAGCGUGCCACGGUGAAUGCGUUCCCGGGUCUUGUACACACCGCCCGUCACACCAUGGGAGUUGGUUCUACCUUAAGGCAAGGUUUAAAACCCUUGACCACGGUAUAGUCAGCGACUGGGGUGAAGUCGUAACAAGGUAACCAAGGG
This 1439-nucleotide ribosomal RNA is filed under the name uncultured Candidatus Pelagibacter sp. RNAcentral's name for it is "bacterial SSU rRNA". It matches the Rfam family "Bacterial small subunit ribosomal RNA". Lineage: Bacteria; Pseudomonadati; Pseudomonadota; Alphaproteobacteria; Candidatus Pelagibacterales; Candidatus Pelagibacteraceae. The record is from RNAcentral.